This 623-nucleotide unclassified non-coding RNA is filed under the name Hevea brasiliensis (rubber tree). Lineage: Eukaryota; Viridiplantae; Streptophyta; Magnoliopsida; Malpighiales; Euphorbiaceae. The record is from RNAcentral.
UGGAGAUGGUAGCUUGCAGUGCUUGUCUUUGUAUAUAAAUUCAUUUUUUGGGCAAAAUAACAUAGUGCUAGUAUAGAUUGUAAAAGCAACAUGGGCUUCGAAUAAUGAAGAACUAUGAAUUUUCGAACUAAAUUUAUCUUCUUUUAAUCAUAUGUACUCUGUUUUUGUUUAGAAUCAGAGAAUGUUCAUUCUUUUGAUGUUAAUAUUUUUGUUAGAACACCUGUAGCAUUCAUUUCGUUUCGUAUAUGCUUGCUGUUGCUGGCAUAAGACGAGAAUAAUAUAAUAUGCUCUUGGAAUGCAUUCGUCCAGACUUCAUCCAAAAGGCCAGUUCAGGGGGAGAGCUUAUCGAAUCAGUGAACCAAGAAUGUCUUGAAAAUUUAGCAAGCAAUUAGUUAAUGGACCAUUUUCGCUUUCUUUCGAUGAUUCCUUAUUGUAUCAGAAAGAUUAGGUGUGUAGAGAGAUGGUUUCUGUGUUGGUGAGGCCGAUUUUGCAAGUUUUGAACAUGGAUGGGCAUCAACUACCGCUGAUUGGACCUGGCCACUUAAAAGGGUUCGGUUUCGAUUUGAUCUGAUCCAGUCAGAUUUGUAAGUUAAACCUCCAAUUUAAGGUUUAUAGGAUUGGGA